AAUGAUUACCCUGAACGGUGGAUCACUUGGCUACGUGGGUCGAUGAAGAACGCAGCUAAUUGC
This 63-nucleotide ribosomal RNA is filed under the name Diglyphus isaea. RNAcentral describes it as "partial 5.8S ribosomal RNA". It matches the Rfam family "5.8S ribosomal RNA", at positions 1 to 56 of the family's 154-position model. From Rfam's summary of the family: 5.8S ribosomal RNA (5.8S rRNA) is a component of the large subunit of the eukaryotic ribosome. It is transcribed by RNA polymerase I as part of the 45S precursor that also contains 18S and 28S rRNA. The record is from RNAcentral. Lineage: Eukaryota; Metazoa; Arthropoda; Insecta; Hymenoptera; Eulophidae.